AUUGAACGCUGGCGGCAUGCUUUACACAUGCAAGUCGAACGGUAGCGCGGGCUACGGCCUUGCGGCGCUUGGCGAACGGGUGCGUAAUACAUCUGACCGUGCCCAGUCGUGGGGGAUAGCUCGGAGUAAGCCGGAUUAAAACUGAAUCCGCCUAACGUGUCAAAGCGGGGGAUCUUCGGAUCCCGCGCUCUUGGCAUGGGCGAUGGCCGGUUAGCUAGGUGGGGGGGUAAAGGUAUACCAUAACGACGGCCCGUAGCCGGACUGGGAGGGCGAACAGCCCCACUUGGACUUGAGCACGGCCCAGGCCCCUACGGGGAGCAGCAGGGGGGAAUUUUGGACAAUGGGCGAAAGCCUGAUCCAGCAAUGCCGCGUGUGUGAUGAAGGCCUUCGGGUUGUAAAGCACUUUUGGCGGGAACGAAAAGAACUGUGCCAAUACCACGGUUCGAUGACGGUACCCGCAGAAGAAGCACCGGCUAACUACGUG
RNAcentral lists this ribosomal RNA (484 nucleotides) under uncultured bacterium. Its description in RNAcentral is "partial 16S ribosomal RNA". It matches the Rfam family "Bacterial small subunit ribosomal RNA", at positions 28 to 507 of the family's 1533-position model. The record is from RNAcentral.